RNAcentral lists this ribosomal RNA (254 nucleotides) under uncultured bacterium. Its description in RNAcentral is "partial 16S ribosomal RNA". It matches the Rfam family "Bacterial small subunit ribosomal RNA", at positions 524 to 776 of the family's 1533-position model. The record is from RNAcentral.
UACGUAGGGGGCAAGCGUUAUCCGGAAUUACUGGGCGUAAAGCGCACGCAGGCGGUUCGCCAAGUUUGGAGUGACAGUUGUCGGCUCAACCGACAAAGGACUUCAAAAACUGGUGAACUUGAGGACGAGAGAGGAACAUGGAACUCCAGGUGUAAGUAGUGAAAUGCGUAGAUAUCUGGAAGAACACCAAUGGCGAAGGCAAUGUUCUGGCUCGUUUCUGACGCUCAGGUGCGAAAGCCAGGGGAGCGAACGGG